This 2583-nucleotide long non-coding RNA is filed under the name Phoenix dactylifera (date palm). RNAcentral's name for it is "long non-coding RNA (PDAC_LNC004646)". The record is from RNAcentral. Lineage: Eukaryota; Viridiplantae; Streptophyta; Magnoliopsida; Arecales; Arecaceae.
GUAUUUGGACUGUAAAUAUGAUUCUUACGCACCAACAAUGGGGAAGCAAAAUCAUUGAAUCGGUAGGUAACUUCCAAAGGCUUCAGCUUUUCAAUAUAUAAUCUCUUCAACCCAUCAAUAAUUGAAGUAACUGAGCUCAGAGGUAUCUGAUAUCAAAUAUAUCAAAUGCAUAAUCAUAAUGUUAGUUUACAAGGCCAAAAAUUAGGAAUGAUUCUCCAAGCAUCAAAUAUUAAGUCAUGCAAUGAUAAACAUUACAGGGGAUGUUAUUUAUCCUCAGUGCUGUCUUCAACUAGGGUGCCACACUCAACAUUCCUAUCAUUAUUAUUAUGAAAUAUAAUGCUAUUCAAGUUGCGAACAAUCCAUUUCACACAAGCAAAAAAGCAAGUCAACACCAAUUGUCAUUUGAUUUAUAAAACACUUUAUUCCUAAAUCCACAGCUCAUCUGUCACUAAACUACUAGAUAGCACAUAGAUUUAUUCAUAAGCAGCCAUGCAAACACAAGCAAUAUAUUGCACAAACUCUUCAUCUUGUAUUGCUGGUUUGACAGUGUAGAUAUAUAAUUGUAUAUUGGUGUAUUGUGCAAGUACAUUUGCAACAAAAUCUAACAGGUUUAGAGCUUACUGCACCACAUGGAGAUUCAGUUGUUUUCAAAGCCCAUGUACAAAGUGAGAAAGACUAACCAAAUUGCUUUCACAACAAAAAAUAAGUUCUUGAAGUCUUAACUGAACCACAUAGAAAUCCAAUUAGGAGAAGAAUCUACGAUGUCCAAAAAUCUAUCUAUCCCUGCCAAAAUUGUAGAUCGAAAGGACCAAAACUACCAUGAAGACAUCAUACUUAGAGAUGGAAAAGGGAAGGAAGAGAAAGACAUGGGCAAAUGUAAUACCUUCUUUGCUGAUUUCGAGCUAAACCACUGAGUUGUUAAUGAAACUUGGGGCUGAGAACUUACUGCAUCAGAAACAAUUUGAUAGUUAUAUAAUUGUUCGACUAGCUAUUCAUCUCUAACUCCAUUAAACACAAUAAGUUCCGUACCAUCAGGAUCAGGAUUGCUUUUCUUGGGUGAAGGCUUAGUUUUCUAGAAAGCAAACAAUAAACAGCACGUUUAACAUUAGCAAAUCAAUUUGAAAACUUUAGUUGUACAUGGUGUUAAAAAAGGAAUGACACUUACAGCUAACAGAAUAUCCAAACCCUCCAUCACUGGAGGUUUCAAGCUAUCCAAUUCUGCAGUCACAAAAUUAUGUGUGUCCAGGUUGCAUAAAAAGAUCAGCAUGCUUGUAGAGAAGUACUAAGUCAGUUCUAAUAGUUUAAUCUAAAAAUUUUAGCUGAUUAUUUUUCUCUCCUUCACUGUUCACCUGAAUGAGUGAGGGCAUCCUGGGUAAUCUCGUUCCCUGCCUGUGCUAGUGAAACAAGCUGUCCAAUUCAUAAAGCAACUAGCAAUUAGGGAAAAUUAAGUCUAUGUUUUUGCCAAUAUGAAUGCAUAUCAUGAAACAAUAUGAGGUAAAAACCUGCAUUGCUGCAAUGAACUCAUUUAAUCCAAGGAAACCUUGUCGUUUAGAGUCCGCAAGGGCCCAGACCUUCAGGCAAAUUUCAGCAGCAAAAUAUCAAUGCAAAAAUAUAUGGUCACAUAGUGAAGAAAAUGAUUACAAACUACUGAUGAUCGUGAAUAAAGAAAUGAAUUACUGUGAGACUUUGGCAUGUGGAAUAAGUGAUUCCAGUAAAUAUAAAUACAAAGAAUAAGCCUUUUUUCCCAGUUGAACAAGGUAAGAUAUUAAUGAGCUCCUAUUAAUCCAUUUCACAGAAAAAAUGAUCAGAAAUGUGCUUGUACGCAAGUAAGCUAUUUCCAAAUAAGCAAACAAAAAAAAAAAAUCUGAGUAGCACAUAAAAGUAGUUGAAGAAAGAUUCAACCAUUGAGACUAGGUAGCCAGUCCAAUGAUCUGUUGCAGUAUUUGAAGAUGAGGGGUUACCAUGAGCACAUUUGGCCUUAUGACACAGGCUAGUAGUUUUGAAUGUGCACACUACAAGCCAAAUGAAUUUUAAGGGCAAAAACAAGAGCAUGGAAACUGUAUCAACCUAAAUGUGAGGUAAAAUAGUUGUAGUUAAAAAGGUUGUGUGGUAUUCUCAUCAGGUCAAUGACCAAAUUCCUCAUAAGCCAGUUCGGGUUGAUCCCCUCCUCNNNNNNNNNNNNNNNNNNNNNNNNNNNNNNNNNNNNNNNNNNNNNNNNNNNAUGACAACAACAAAUCGAUCAGUUGUAGGCUCUGGUCCAAUAUGAGCACCUGGGUAGCUGGAUCUUAAUAAAUGUUUGAUGAACGUUGUUUUUCCAGUAGAAUAUUGUCCCAAUAACAUAACCAUCGGCUUUGCAUCAAAAUCACUAUUUGUCAACAAUGGGGAAGCAAAAUCAUUGAAUCGGUAGGUAACUUCCAAAGGCUUCAGCUUUUCAAUAUAUAAUCUCUUCAACCCAUCAAUAAUUGAAGUAACUGAGCUCAGAGGUAUCUUCUUUGCUGAUUUCGAGCUAAACCACUGAGUUGUUAAUGAAACUUGGGGCUGAGAACUUACAUCAGGAUCAGGAUUGCUUUUCUUGGGUGAAGG